GCCGGUAUAGCUCAGCGGACCAGAACGGCUUCCUUGUAAGAAGCGGGUCGUCCGUUCGGACUGCCGGCACCA
Molecule: transfer RNA, 72 nt
Filed under: Burkholderia cenocepacia
Lineage: Bacteria; Pseudomonadati; Pseudomonadota; Betaproteobacteria; Burkholderiales; Burkholderiaceae
Description: tRNA-Thr
Rfam family: tRNA
About the family: Transfer RNA (tRNA) molecules are approximately 80 nucleotides in length.
Source: RNAcentral